UACCAGCACCCCGAGUGGUCGGGACGUUUAUUGGGCCUAAAGCAUCCGUAGCCGGUUCUACAAGUCUUCCGUUAAAUCCAACUGCUUAACAGGUGGGCUGCGGAAGAUACUAUAGAGCUAGGAGGCGGGAGAGGCAAGCGGUACUCGAUGGGUAGGGGUAAAAUCCGUUGAUCCAUUGAAGACCACCAGUGGCGAAGGCGGCUACCUGGACAGAUACUGACGCUGAGGCGCGAGAGCGUGGGGAGCAAACAGG
This 253-nucleotide ribosomal RNA is filed under the name uncultured bacterium. RNAcentral's name for it is "partial 16S ribosomal RNA". It matches the Rfam family "Archaeal small subunit ribosomal RNA", at positions 474 to 727 of the family's 1478-position model. The record is from RNAcentral.